CCGAACAAACAAAAGGCUCGCCGCUUCGUAUCCUUGUGAGCGAGCGGUGAAUCCUUCUGGCCGACUCAACUGAAAUUAUGGUUCGAGUCUGGCGGUCCAAGUCUUCCUUGCUCCGUUCGCGGAGUGAGGGAGCACCGCAAACAAAAAUUUUGUAAACAAGAAAAAUUUUGAAAUGAAGCAAUAAACAAAGACAAAAAGACGAAAUAAAAACCUCGAGUGGUGGAUCACUCGGCUCGUGGGUCGAUGAAGAACGCAGCUAACUGCGUGCAGACGUGUGAACUGCAGGACACAUGAACACCGACAUUUGAACGCACAUGGCGGCCUGAAAUAAAUUUCAGGCCAUGUCUGGCUGAGGGUCGGAAACUAAACUAAAGAAAGAUUGCUCAAGUGACGGGUCUUUGAGGACCUGGUUGGGGAACUUGUAGCGCAUCAACAGUUUUCUCGGUUGUGUGCCAUUAGCAUGAGAUUUUUUCAAGCUACUGGCACACAACCGAGGAAAACUGUUGAUGCGCUACAAGUUCCCCAACCAGGUCCUCAAAGACCCGUCACUUGAGCAAUCUUUCUUUUAGUUUAGUUUCCGACCCUCAGCCAGACAUGGCCUGAAAUUUAUUUCAGGCCGCCAUGUGCGUUCAAAAUGUCUGGUGUUCAUGUGUCCUGCAGUUCACACGUCUGCACGCAGUUAGCUGAGUUCUUCAUCGACCCACGAGCCGAGUGAUCCACCACUCGAGGUUUUUAUUUCGUCUUUUUGUCUUUGUUAUUGCUUCAUUUCAAAAUUUUUCUUGUUUACAAAAUUUUUGUUUGCGGUGCUCCCUCACUCGCGAACGGAGCAAGGAAGACUUGGACGCCAGACUCGAACCAUAAUUUUCAAGUUGAGUCGGCCAGAAGGAUUCACCGCUCGCUCACAAGGAUACGAGCGGCGAGCCUUUUUGUUGUUUCGGUAAUGCUCCUUACGCAGGUUUCACCUACGGAAGGAUCAUUAAUGAUUGGCCUCAGGGCCUUAUCGAUUAUUAAUCCCAACACCUCUGUGAACCGUUUUCGGCCCUCGGGCUGAUCUUUUUACAAUACAAACAUUGUGUAAUGAGCGUCUUGUUAUCUUAACAAAAC
RNAcentral lists this unclassified non-coding RNA (1104 nucleotides) under soil metagenome. RNAcentral describes it as "partial contains internal transcribed spacer 1, 5.8S ribosomal RNA, and internal transcribed spacer 2". The stretch from base 209 to 359 matches the Rfam family "5.8S ribosomal RNA". The record is from RNAcentral.